This is a long non-coding RNA of Phacochoerus africanus (Common warthog), 2950 nucleotides long. RefSeq lists it as uncharacterized. NCBI's taxonomy places the organism in Eukaryota, Metazoa, Chordata, Mammalia, Artiodactyla, Suidae. The record is from RefSeq and is a predicted model, not a curated record. The transcript is spliced from 4 exons.
GGUUCAUAACCCUCUGAGCCACAACGGGAACUCCGGAGACGCAUUUAUUCUUGAAAACCUGCUCUGUGGGUCAGACCAGUGGGAGUGGCCGCACGGCCUGUUGGCGCUAUCCCUGUGUGGGACCGGCAGCUUUGCCACCCGAGGACCAACUGGAUGGGGUGGAGGCAGAAAUCCGGGGCUUUUUCAGCAGAGAGUGGUGAACCCCAGAGGAGGAAAACGAAAAUCCGCCAGUUUGCUCAUCUGAGGCUGUGGACCUAGUUGGGAUGAGCAGCCAACUGACCAGAAAGGUAGUGGGGACAUCGUGGGACGUGAGUGCCACCGAGGGCGGGGCCGGCCCCGGGGGAGCGUGGGCAGGCGUGGGCGCGGGCCUGACACAGACGGGCCAGAGGGAGCUUGUGGGGCGGCGGCGGGUUCUGAAGCUCAUCCUGCACUGGCUGCAUCGGGCCACCCCUUGUCCCAGAGGACAGUGUAAACUCGCUUGGAGAGCAGUGUGUGGCACCCACGUUUCUCUCCAUGGUCUCAAAGUGAACUCGAGGGGACCCGGAGCAGGAACCCGGCUGCGGGGCAGAGCCACGCGACGCGCUCGUGAAAACGGAGCUGCCCUCCCCGCCCCCCCUACCCGCUCGUUUCCUGGGGUAAAGGCCCAGCCGCAGGCGCUUUAGAGGAUCUCCAGCUGAUCCCCAUUUGCAGCCGCGUUUGAAAACCACGGGACGACCGGAGCUGGGUUCCUCCUGGCCAGGCUGAGGUCCCCGGCAGACUCUAGAAGCUGGAGGAGGAGACAGGUGCCGAGCAAGGCAGGAGGCACAGACCCAGCUGGAGGUGGACGGGGAGACGAAGCAGCUGGUACCGGCUUUAUGAAAAUUGGAACAACCAGACGAGGUCCCGGGAUGUUGUCCAGAGCCUCACCAGCUGGCAUGGCAUCUCUACCCAAAACAUCGACGCCCUGUCCACGUCUGGAUGCCGGAGAGAGACGAACGCUAUUGUUUUAAAAGGCGGGGGUUCGUGUGUGUGGCUCUUUCUUUCUGAGCGGAUGCACUGGGAACAAGGGUUUGGCACCCCUACCAGGGACCGCACCGCAAAGCUCCUGCAAUCACGGCUUCCUUUCUGUCUGUGCCAUCAGACCUGAGGUCUGUGAGCACAGGGCUCGUGCUGUAUCCUCUGAUUUUUUUCAGAAGGCCCAGAGGGCACCCAAUGAAUGAAUGAGUGAGUGAAUGAAUGAGAGAGUGCAGAAAGUAUGCAGGCGCUGAGGUGGUGACUAAAGACCUGUAAGACAGGGCUUCCCUACCGAAGUGUGACUGUGACCCUGGACAGCGAAGACCCUUGCAAGCGGACCAGCAGGAGUAAGUUUUGAAGGGUGGGAUGAGCAGAGGAGGUGGUCCCUGCCCCUGGAGUCAGAGGCUGGAGCCAUGCGGGACUCAGGGCUUGAGCAGACUUGAAGAUGGGCCUGGAGUCCCCAGAACACUAUGCCCAGGGGCGGCGGGGGAAGGAGUGCCCGAGCACUGGCCGCGAAGGAGGUCCGGCAGCGGCCGGACAGCUGGGCCCGGGGAGGGUGGCGGGCCCCCUGCUGGGUGAGGCUGGGUUGAGGGAGGUCAGCCUGGGCUCAGAGAGCCCAGGACCUCAGGGUCAGGGGGGCCACAUCGAGCAGGCAUUGAGGAAUUGGUGGCAGUUUGAGCAGGGAGAGCUCAAAAAAACCCAAAACCAAAACCAAAACAAAGCAGAGGUGGGGCCGGUGGUGACACAGAGCAGCCCCAGGCUUUCCUGCUCUCCUCCCCGGCCAUCCAGGGGUCCCAGGCCCUGUGCUGCUGGUGCAAACCAACCUCGCACAGUCUAAUCUCAAAGGCUCUUGUGGCUACUACAGUUCCUUCCCCUGGCUGCCCAGAAAUGCCGUGGGCCCUCUCUUUGCCUGAACGCUAGUAAUACAACCACAUGGCUUGAAAUCGCUCAAAAAGAGGUAAGAGGCAGAAGCCAAACUAAGAGAGGCUUGCGUGCCCAUUUUGCCAUAAGAGCCCCGUGCAUACAUUUGGUCCUGUGUUCCUUCCCAGCGCCCCAGGAAGAAUUAUUGGAGUUCGGUGACAUAAAGAAAUGGCCUCCGGGUGGAUUUUUACGGUUCUGGUCUUUCAGAGUUGGAAGCACAUCUUUCAGCGCUGUAAGAAGUCCAGAAUUUAUCCUGGCAAGGCCCAAAAAGUCUCACUCACGGAAUGAGGUCAUCUUGGAGGUUGCUAUAAUACAGCUGGAUUUUAUUCUCGGCGCCUGAAACACAUCUUAAAUUCAACUUGCUGUGAAAACUCCAAAUUCAAACCUCAUUCCAGCCUUCACCCGCUCCUCAGUGGUUACGUAAAACUUUCAAUGCCUCCAUGAUUAAUUUGUGAAAACUGAUGCAGAUCCUGAGGACAAUGCAAGCGAAACAGAAGGAAGUGGACAAAUGGCAAGUGCUCAUUUUGCCAAAAGCUACGACAGACGUCAGCUCACCGAUGAAAACACCUGAAAAUCUCAGUCUGUAAAAAUUCAGCUCGAAACAAGCUUAUUCCAGGCAUUUUUCUAGUCCAGUUCUGACUUCUUCAGAGCAGUGUGGCUGGGGAGUGGAGGGGCCGCCAGCCAACACGCAGGCUCAGCAGCAGGAGCUGAAGAUCAGCAGCAGCACCCCCUCCUACCCGCGGGCCAGGCAGGCUUGGUGGCAGGGCAAGUGCGUGUCCACAAAGGCAUCAGGCAUGUAAACGCAAACCCUCCAUCCACCAGGAAGGAGCCUUCUCGAUUUGUAUGUUACGUCCUCUCUCUCUAAACUGAGACUGAUUAUCUAAGACAAGCAUGGCCUUGCCUGCUGUAGACCCUGGAAAAAGAAGCAUGUUUUAAGCAACUGGACAAGAGCCGGGGAGCAGCCAAAUGUUUCAAGUUGAAAAUGAAAAAAAAGAGGAGGAGAGUACCUGUUCUUGAUCAACUGUCAUACAAAGUC